This is a long non-coding RNA of Felis catus (domestic cat), 1575 nucleotides long. RefSeq lists it as uncharacterized. The record is from RefSeq and is a predicted model, not a curated record. Lineage: Eukaryota; Metazoa; Chordata; Mammalia; Carnivora; Felidae. The transcript is spliced from 5 exons.
UGAAAAUCGCCCCCCUUCUCGCGCCUUCCCGCCACACCUGCUCCUGGGGCCCACCUGGAAGGCAGAGCGCUCGCCCGGAGUCUCCCCCUCUUGGCGCCCCCCAUUUACCCGGCCUGACACUGAGCCCUGUCAUCGCUGCGGGAAGAUAAUCGUGCAGUUUGCGCGGUGCAUUGGGCUCAGGGAGCCGGAGGUUUCAAGCCAAUUUCACCGUUUCUCGGGUCAGGUUUUUUAACUUAACUGGAGGAGAGGUCCUCAUUACAUGAGGCAGACACGGUAAUACAGACCGACAUUUCUCAGACUCGACUACCCUGGGGAUCGUGUUUAACUGCGGGUGGUGAUUCAGCGGGUCUGGGACGAAGCCCGAGAUUCUGCAUUUCUGUAAAAAGCCCCCGGGUGAAACCGCUGGGUCAGGGCCGCUGUGCGGAAAGGCUGCAGGUAAAAUUUAGCGCAAAACAGCCCCACCUUGAGCGUUUGGGUAAGACGCACGUGGUUGGGCCCCACCCCCCGGGCUGCUGAGGCCGGAGGUCUGGAGUGAGUGAUGCUGCUGCUGCUGUCUGAGGUCUACACUUAGCGAGCCAAUGCUGAAGACUGUCUAAAUACAUGGCCAGAAACAAACAAAAAACACUAGUAAUUAGCACUCUCAGAGCACCUUCCAUCUUGAAACCACUGUGGUGGUUGCUGUUUCCACCGAAUAACUGACUAGUUCCCCCAAGCAACUCUCGAGAGAGCUGAAGAACCAUGGACUGUGUCUGACCUGACAUGGGGAGGAGGAGAUUUUAUCAUCGGAAUUUUCGUCUGUUUCACACAGUUUGGGGAACUCCAUGUUGUGUUCUGAUCCUCACUGAAGAUGGAGGAAAUAAGGCAAGGAGAUUCUGUGACCAGCAGCUAGAGAAAAAUUCACGUUCCCUCUCCAUGUAACAUCCCCAGCAUCCUUCUACACCAAAACUUUGAAGUUGACUUUGGCUGCCUGCCCCUCAGCCCCCAUUUCCAUUUUGUCAACCUCUGGCCUAUUGGAACAAGGAAGUGUAUCUGGAAUUCUCUUCUCUGCAUGUACCUUCCCAGACCCUCGCUGACUCUUCCUUGGACUGUUGAAAAAGCUUCUCUCUGGACUUUUGGCCUCAAGAGAAUAAUGUUUUCAAGGAUCAUCCUGUUGUCUCAGAAUCCCCUACCUUUUUAAGGAAGAAAAAUAUUCUGUUGUAUGACGAUACCAUAAAAUGCCACCUUGACCACCAGGCUGACCGCCAGGAGAGACCUAGCUCUCCCCCAGGGCAGAGAUCUUGAUUUAUGUAACUCUGUGUGCUGACUGGUCACAUGACGCCUGACACACAGUGGAUGCUCAGAAAGUAGUCAAGGAUCUCAGCUGUUGGACUGAACCACUCCAGGGCCCAAGCACUGAUGGAAGGUGCCAUAUGAAGGGAGAGGAAGACUCAGGAUCAACUCCCAGGUUCCUGCAGAACUGGAAGCCAAGAGGGAAACAUACAUCAGAGGCAAAACACAAAAGGCCUCAAAUGCCAGCAAAUACUUUUUUUUAUUCAGUCAAGGAGUCGUUUGAGCCUAGAAUUUCAUGGUCUUAGU